Non-coding RNA from Paramuricea clavata, 186 nucleotides. The record is from the annotation of a GenBank genome assembly. Lineage: Eukaryota; Metazoa; Cnidaria; Anthozoa; Malacalcyonacea; Plexauridae.
AUAGCUAUGAAUGUUUCGGCCCAAAUAAAAACUCUGUUCUUAUCAGCUUAAUAUCUGAUAUGUUAGGCAAUGCCUAACUCAUGUAUUAAACUGAUUUUUGGACUUCGGCCAUGGGAUUGAAGCUUGCUUCGCCCUGGCCACAGGUUGUCUUGGUAUUGCACUACAUCCGAGUACAGCCCCUUCCCC